UGUUUCGGCUAGGGGGCCAUCCCGGCUUACCAACCCGAUGCAAACUGCGAAUACCGGAGAAUGUUAUCACGGGAGACACACGGCGGGUGCUAACGUCCGUCGUGAAGAGGGAAACAACCCAGACCGCCAGCUAAGGUCCCAAAGUCAUGGUUAAGUGGGAAACGAUGUGGGAAGGCCCAGACAGCCAGGAUGUUGGCUUAGAAGCAGCCAUCAUUUAAAGAAAGCGUAAUAGCUCACUGGUCGAGUCGGCCUGCGCGGAAGAUGUAACGGGGCUAAACCAUGCACCGAAGCUGCGGCAGCGACGCUGAUGCGUUGUUGGGUAGGGGAGCGUUCUGUAAGCCUGUGAAGGUGGCCUGUGAGGGUUGCUGGAGGUAUCAGAAGUGCGAAUGCUGACAUAAGUAACGAUAAAGCGGGUGAAAAGCCCGCUCGCCGGAAGACCAAGGGUUCCUGUCCAACGUUAAUCGGGGCAGGGUGAGUCGACCCCUAAGGCGAGGCCGAAAGGCGUAGUCGAUGGGAAACGGGUUAAUAUUCCCGUACUUGGUGUUACUGCGAAGGGGGGACGGAGAAGGCUAUGUUGGCCGGGCGACGGUUGUCCCGGUUU
This 601-nucleotide ribosomal RNA is filed under the name Salmonella enterica subsp. enterica serovar Kentucky. RNAcentral describes it as "partial 23S ribosomal RNA". It matches the Rfam family "Bacterial large subunit ribosomal RNA", at positions 911 to 1513 of the family's 2925-position model. The record is from RNAcentral. Lineage: Bacteria; Pseudomonadati; Pseudomonadota; Gammaproteobacteria; Enterobacterales; Enterobacteriaceae.